RNAcentral lists this ribosomal RNA (253 nucleotides) under uncultured bacterium. Its description in RNAcentral is "partial 16S ribosomal RNA". It matches the Rfam family "Bacterial small subunit ribosomal RNA", at positions 524 to 776 of the family's 1533-position model. The record is from RNAcentral.
UACGAAGGGGGCUAGCGUUGCUCGGAAUCACUGGGCGUAAAGUGCACGUAGGCGGCUUCUUAAGUCAGGGGUGAAAUCCUGGAGCUCAACUCCAGAACUGCCUUUGAUACUGAGAAGCUUGAGUCCGGGAGAGGUGAGUGGAACUGCGAGUGUAGAGGUGAAAUUCGUAGAUAUUCGCAAGAACACCAGUGGCGAAGGCGGCUCACUGGCCCGGUACUGACGCUGAGGUGCGAAAGCGUGGGGAGCAAACAGG